This is a long non-coding RNA of Spea bombifrons (plains spadefoot toad), 100 nucleotides long. RefSeq lists it as uncharacterized. The transcript is spliced from 3 exons. The record is from RefSeq and is a predicted model, not a curated record. NCBI's taxonomy places the organism in Eukaryota, Metazoa, Chordata, Amphibia, Anura, Pelobatidae.
AAAAAUAAAAAAAAAAAAAAAAGAAGAAAAAAAAAAAAAAAAAAAAAAAAAAAAAAAAAAAAAAAAAAAAAAAAAAAAAGGGGGGGGGGGGGGGGGGGGG